Long non-coding RNA from Ananas comosus (pineapple), 1743 nucleotides. RefSeq lists it as uncharacterized. The transcript is spliced from 3 exons. Lineage: Eukaryota; Viridiplantae; Streptophyta; Magnoliopsida; Poales; Bromeliaceae. The record is from RefSeq and is a predicted model, not a curated record.
ACUUCAGCGCAAUCUUCAUCCUCCUCGAAUUCGCAUUUUACCCAAGCAUAAGCUGCCACCAAAAACGUUCGUCAGCCUCAUUCAGCACAAAAGUGUCCUCAGCCUUUUACUAUGGUGAAAAGCUGGGAUGAGUAGCUCUAAAAGGAAAUUGUUGGGGAGAUUAUUAUGAAAAUGUUGAAUGCAAGGACUUCUUCUAACAACUCUAGGUAAUCAGCAGAAGCCCAAACCAAGAAAAGGGUACUGCAGAGUCCUUUUGUUUUGUUUUUGUGUUGUAGGGAUGGUAUAUAUAAGUUCACCUGGAGAAGGGUCUCUCAUCUUCUGAAAGUAGGUACAGUACUGAGGAGAGAUUUGUUGGAGGGAGAAGCGAUUGGACGAGGAUACGACCUCGUUCAACUUGCGCCAUCGAUCCUUCAGUGUUUUGUACCCGAACUCAAAGAUAUCUCCUUUUCCUUCCAUCUCAGCUAAGAUCACCUUGAUGAGCUGCAGAACUCUUAACUGAGUAUCUCGCGACACUCCCAUUGUAUUCACCUGCAUGUAUUGCACAACUUUCUCGUAUACUUUCUGAUCCUUUAUCAGUGCCCACCUUCAUAAAAAGGAAUUAGACUAGUUACUAGGUUUUUAAGAGCCUUAAAUUAGUAGAACAUAAUUUAGUUAAAAAAGAUACUGGUAAAUUGUUGCUUUUUGGUUCCCUGAACUUCCCUAUAUCUUAUGUCAUUAGAUGACCAAGUAGAUAGACGGUGGAUCGUUUGCAUUCUAUACAUCUAUUCUAUGGUGUUUGUUCAGAAACUGAAAACAAAAAUUUAUGAGCCACAUUUUUUUUGUUUUUGUUUUUUGCCUUUUUUUUUUAAGAAGAGUUUCCAAAUGUUAAUGUCUUUUUGACAAUGUAUUUACGUAUUACGGCUAAUAAUUAAAAGUGAACAGAAUAUAUACAUACCCAAACCUACUGCUAGCAUGGCCAGAUGUUUUGGAGCCAGAGAAGAGCAUGACAUCUUCAUCAGCAGGGGCCGGGAUUGCCGAGAAAUGAGGCCAAUAGUACGCGUGAUCGUAGAUCACCGAUUGGCCCCCGAGAACUGAUUUGUGCAGGAGCCCGUCAGGAUUGUUCGGCGACGUCACAAACUCGAUCAAGUUUGUCGUCGACACCGACGACGAGUUAAUCCAUUCUGAGGGAGCAGUGGCGACGACGCUGGCGGGGGAGGUGGCGUUGUCGGGGGAAAGCGCGUAGACGAGGGCGUUGAUCAGCUGGGUGGAUCCUGAUCCGAAGACGAUGAACUUGUCCUCUUCGACAGCAUUUCCGACCGCGCGGUGGAGAGCGCGGAUGUGGCGCUCCAGCUCGACGGAGAUGUAGCCGUUGGUGGUGCGGUAGCUCAUGCGGUGCCAUCCCGACACGACGAUGGUGCUUCCCGCAGCGUGCCGUCGCCAGUAGGGCUCCAAGAACAGUGGAUCUCCGCUGCAGACGAUGAUGAGAUAAACGACGAACACAAAUUUGAAUAGAAUUGGAGCAGAGCUAUUUUUAUUUUCGCUUCCUCGCACUUCCGUGUCCUCUACUCCACAUUUACCUGUCUCCUUAAUCCUCUUUGAUUAUUCUAAAGUCAUAGUUUUGACUAAUAAUCGAGAUUUCUAGUGUUAGAGCAUGACAAUAUGAACAUGCAAAACAAAACAAAGGAAAUUUGAUUUGUGCUGAUCAGCAGUGCAAGAAAACUAGUAAAUAUAAUUUAUAAAAAGUUAUGGACCAUCUUGCAUUAA